CACGUAGGGUGCAAGCGUUGCUCGGAAUCACUGGGCGUAAAGGGCGCGUAGGCGGCCAUUCAAGUCGGAGGUGAAAGCCCAGGGCUCAACCCUGGAAUUGCCUUCGAUACUGUCUGGCUAGAGACCGGAAGAGGUAAGUGGAACUGCGAGUGUAGAGGUGAAAUUCGUAGAUAUUCGCAAGAACACCAGUGGCGAAGGCGGCUUACUGGUCCGGUUCUGACGCUGAGGCGCGAAAGCGUGGGGAGCAAACAGG
This 253-nucleotide ribosomal RNA is filed under the name uncultured bacterium. RNAcentral describes it as "partial 16S ribosomal RNA". It matches the Rfam family "Bacterial small subunit ribosomal RNA", at positions 524 to 776 of the family's 1533-position model. The record is from RNAcentral.